Molecule: long non-coding RNA, 652 nt
Organism: Lycium ferocissimum
Lineage: Eukaryota; Viridiplantae; Streptophyta; Magnoliopsida; Solanales; Solanaceae
Exons: 3
Source: RefSeq, a predicted model, not a curated record
CUCAACUAACUAAAAUCGCCUCUACCCCGUCGAAAGCUCUCCUAUUUCUCUCUCCAAACCACCCACAUCAUCGCAAGAGGAACCAAAUUCCAUGCCUUACGUCUUCUCCUCCUCUCCUCCAACAAAACAUCAAAUCUUUCAAAGUUCAAGCAUUCUCUCUCAUGUAUUAGUUUUCAAAAUUUAAUAAUGCUCUCCAUAUUCAAAGUAGAAGGUCAGUUUGGCUAUUAACAUUUGUGUGAUCGCUACUGUUCCCUUGAAGCUAAAACAAAACAUGGCGGAAAACAAAGUAUAAAGAUUGGACGAGAAACCUUAAAGAAGGUAAUUCUUGGGAAAGGCAACAUUAGCAUAGAUAGGGCAACAGAAAAAUCAGAAAGGAAAGUCAGAGUUCAAGAAAUUAUACCUUCCGUUCCACAAAUACAAUGGUCAAAGGGAAGGGAUGACCAGAUCUUUCAGCUUGAGCAGCCUCCUCAACCAGCAAAUCCAAAAGUCGGUCAAUCUACAAGAUUUAUCAUCACAACAACGUCAAGCUUUAAUCACGACGAAAGAACCAUAGAUCUGGUGACAUCAUCUUUUUUUUUUUUUAGGUGACGAUUAAUAUCUAAUCUUGAAAACUUCUUUUUCCACCUAUCUAAGAUUGACUUCAAGUACAAGA